This is a transfer RNA of 73 nucleotides. It matches the Rfam family "tRNA". From Rfam's summary of the family: Transfer RNA (tRNA) molecules are approximately 80 nucleotides in length. Their secondary structure includes four short double-helical elements and three loops (D, anti-codon, and T loops).
UGACCAAUAGCUCAGUUGGUAGAGCAAACGGCUGUUAACCGUUGGGUCGUAGGUUCAAGUCCUACUUAGUCAG